RNAcentral lists this transfer RNA (74 nucleotides) under Eutypa lata. RNAcentral describes it as "tRNA-Ala". It matches the Rfam family "tRNA". Rfam says of the family: Transfer RNA (tRNA) molecules are approximately 80 nucleotides in length. Their secondary structure includes four short double-helical elements and three loops (D, anti-codon, and T loops). RNAcentral also lists the same sequence under 1 other name. The record is from RNAcentral. Lineage: Eukaryota; Fungi; Ascomycota; Sordariomycetes; Xylariales; Diatrypaceae.
GGGAUCAUAGUUUCAAUCAGGUAAAACGGUAAUUUUGCAUGUUAUUUUUGUCAGUUCAAGUCUGGCUGAUUCCA